GUCGUAACAAGGUCUCCGUAGGUGAACCUGCGGAGGGAUCAUUACACAAAUAUGAAGGCGGGCUGGAACCUCUCGGGGUUACAGCCUUGCUGAAUUAUUCACCCCUGUCUUUUGCGUACUUCUUGUUUCCUUGGUGGGUUCGCCCACCACUAGGACAAACAUAAACCUUUUGUAAUUGCAAUCAGCGUCAGUAACAAAUUAAUAAUUACAACUUUCAACAACGGAUCUCUUGGUUCUGGCAUCGAUGAAGAACGCAGCGAAAUGCGAUAAGUAGUGUGAAUUGCAGAAUUCAGUGAAUCAUCGAAUCUUUGAACGCACAUUGCGCCCUUUGGUAUUCCAAAGGGCAUGCCCGUUCGAGCGUCAUUUGUACCCUCAAGCUUUGCUUGGUGUUGGGCGUCUUGUCUCUAGCUUUGCUGGAGACUCGCCUUAAAGUAAUUGGCAGCCGGCCUACUGGUUUCGGAGCGCAGCACAAGUCGCACUCUCUAUCAGCAAAGGUCUAGCAUCCAUUAAGCCUUUUUUUUCAACUUUUGACCUCGGAUCAGGUAGGGAUACCCGCUGAACUUAAGCAUAUCA
Molecule: ribosomal RNA, 573 nt
Filed under: uncultured fungus
Lineage: Eukaryota; Fungi
Description: eukaryotic LSU rRNA
Rfam family: 5.8S ribosomal RNA (bases 210-363)
Source: RNAcentral